Homalodisca vitripennis (glassy-winged sharpshooter) is the source of this 319-nucleotide long non-coding RNA. RefSeq lists it as uncharacterized. The record is from RefSeq and is a predicted model, not a curated record. The transcript has 2 exons. Lineage: Eukaryota; Metazoa; Arthropoda; Insecta; Hemiptera; Cicadellidae.
GAUUUUUAACUCCAUAGAGCAUCUGCAUCAGAUAUGACAACAUUUCAAACUUUUUGUAUCUUAGUCUCCUUCUUGAGUGAAUAUAUAUACAAGUGUGCCGGGAUAAGAGUGGUGAUCACACAGCAUGAAGCUCUGAGCAGAGUGCAAUAACACUGUGUCAUAAAGCCCGCUCUCGUGUCGUGGUGAUGUGUGUAAACAGCGGGGCUGACCUCGCCUGUGCAAGGCUUCAUCAGCUCGUCUACAUGCAACGGCUCUAUAGUUAACUUAAGUCAAAUUUAAAUUAAAUGUUGUACUACAAAUAAAUACUGUGUUAUUUUUA